RNAcentral lists this ribosomal RNA (393 nucleotides) under uncultured bacterium. Its description in RNAcentral is "partial 16S ribosomal RNA". It matches the Rfam family "Bacterial small subunit ribosomal RNA", at positions 523 to 918 of the family's 1533-position model. The record is from RNAcentral.
AUACGGAGGAUGCGAGCGUUAUCCGGAUUUAUUGGGUUUAAAGGGAGCGUAGGUGGGCUAUUAAGUCAGCUGUGAAAGUUUGGGGCUCAACCUUAAAAUUGCAGUUGAUACUGGUUUCCUUGAGUACGGUACAGGUGGGCGGAAUUCGUGGUGUCGCGGUGAAAUGCUUAGAUAUCACGAAGAACUCCGAUUGCGAAGGCAGCCUGCUGGACUGUAACUGACGCUGAUGCUCGAAAGUGUGGGUAUCAAACAGGAUUAGAUACCCUGGUAGUCCACACAGUAAACGAUGAAUACUCGCUGUUUGCGAUAUACAGUAAGCGGCCAAGCGAAAGCGUUAAGUAUUCCACCUGGGGAGUACGCCGGCAACGGUGAAACUCAAAGGAAUUGACGGGG